UGCAUUAGUGUUUAAAACAGU
RNAcentral lists this non-coding RNA (21 nucleotides) under Caenorhabditis elegans. The record is from RNAcentral. Lineage: Eukaryota; Metazoa; Nematoda; Chromadorea; Rhabditida; Rhabditidae.